ACCCUCCCAUUCCCUUUCCAAUCAGAUCUGAACACUGGCCUUGGCUGUCAUAAAAAGAGGAAAAGUAAUACUGAAGCUGGCCUAACAGUGUUGUAGUCUGGUAUAUAGCAUGUCGGCUAAUUUGAAACAGGU
Molecule: small nucleolar RNA, 132 nt
Organism: Cynocephalus volans (Philippine flying lemur)
Lineage: Eukaryota; Metazoa; Chordata; Mammalia; Dermoptera; Cynocephalidae
Product: small nucleolar RNA SNORA61
Exons: 1
Source: RefSeq, a predicted model, not a curated record